ACAGUCCACAAGUACAUAUGGCAGGGCAAUGUGUGAGGGGAGUUGAAACAUUUGUAUUAUUGAGCUCAAGCUCUGAAAUUUUGAGUUAAAUUCUCUGUUUUCUUUCAAUCUCUAGAUGGAACAAUACAAGCCUCCCACAACUAGACUUGCCUUCCAAAGCAAUAAUAGGUAUGAUGUAUUUCUGAGUUUCAGGGGACCAGAUGUCAGAAAGACUCUGGUUGAUCAUCUUUAUGAAGCUCUCACCCAAGCAGGACUCAAUGUCUUCUUAGAUACUGACAAAUUGGAAAAGGGAGAAAUUAUUGGGUUGAGCUUGGACAGUGCAAUUGAGAGCAGUGCCAUACGCAUCCCCAUAUUUUCCAAAGGCUAUGCAGACUCAGCAUGGUGUCUCAAGGAGGCCUCUGUAAUGUCGAGGACUCCUGGCUUGAUCAUUCCUCUUUUUUAUCAUGUGGAUCCAACUAGUGUUAGAUAUCCUGAUAAUGCCUCCAGUCCCUAUUGCCGACAAUUUCUCAAACAUUCAGAUCGAUACCGAAGAGAGGAGAUUAAUGACUGGAAGCGUGCCCUUCGCCAGAUCUGUUCUUAUUCGGGCUGGUCCUUGGACUUAACUCAAGGCUACGAAGCUCGGCUUAUAAAGAUGAUGGUGAACGACCUGAGGAAGACAUUGAAGAGAGUGAAGAAAUAUGACGGUGGCCAAAAUGAAUGGGAAGAGGAAAUGGAGGAAGCAAAAACAGAUGAAAAAAUCCAGACAGUGAGAAAUGUGAAGAUGGGGAAGUCACAAAAGAAUGGUGGUGAGGAGACAAUCUUAUUGAACACAGCUAUGGAAAUAAAUAAGCAUGAAUUUCCUAUUCCCGGGUAUGUAAUUGAAUAUGUGCAUCCUCCUCAGCUAUUCAGUGAUGAGAACCCAAACGCUUGUUCCAUCAUGUAGAAGAUUGCAUGAUGUUUUAAUCAACCGCCAUGCCAGAUGUCAUGUCAAGUUUCUGUUAUGAAAAUCAUUUACGCAAAUUGAGGGAAACAUUACAAAAUAAUUCUCCUACCAAGCUCAUAUUUUUCUAGAAGAGCAGAGCCAUCAGUACAGAUCGAUUGGCAGCCUUAAGAAUUGAAAUAUUAUUGUGCAAAGAUGGAAAAAUUAUAGUGCCUCCAACUUGGUAGUGGCAUAAUAGAGUUUUGAGGUGGUGGCUGCUAGGGUAAGGUAACAUUAACCUUACAAUCCCAAGUCAUUCAUAAGUCUCCAUGUUCCUUGGAAAAGGACAUGUGAGAAAAAUAUUAAUUAUUUGCACUUUAUAGCUAUUUGUAAUUGCAUUUUGAAUAGGUGAACAUGAAUAAGGUAUAAAUAAAAAUUAAAAUGGACAAAAUAAACUUCUUCCCAUGUUCAUAUUGAGAAGAGUCACUCAGAAUAUGUAAAGACUAAGUGGCUUUGGAUUUGGCUCUCGUGAACAGUCACUUAAAGAGUUUCAUAUUAUUUUAUUAUGUCUAUUGGCUAUUUAUUCUCCAAGGCAUGUGUUUUUGCAAGUGGUUUUGGCCCUUAGUUUUGGGAAAAUAACUAUGGUUUUUCCUCUGUGAUUUGGCUAUAAAUUGGAGCCAAGACAUAGUUAUUUAAUCAUCAAUUGAUCAUAGUUUCUUUGAAGUUUCCAAUUAGUUCUGAGAUCAUUUGGAAAAGUGUGUUAUUGCGGUGUUCUCUCUUUUGAAGAAUUUACCCUUGUUCUUUGUUGGAGUUUUUUCCUAAAAGGGUCUCUCCAUGUGUGUCUCUUUUAGUAUGAUUGUUUUGAUAUUUAUGUUGAAUAGUGCAAUCACAUGUUCAUUUCAAAUUUAGUUUUAGAUUUAGUAAUCUUUUUUAAAUUUAUAAUCACAUAAGAAAGUAAAUAUUGCAAGCUUUGUUCACCUUGUUUCUCAACAUUUGGUAUUAGAGCUAAUGGUUUUGUUGAGAAGAUGACACCUUUCUCUUUAAGUAUUAAAGAUUUUUUGUUGCAGUAGAAGAAUUUUUUGUGUGGUUCUGCAGAUUUGGAAACUAUAGAUGGAAGAUAUUUUGGAGGAGAGAGAUCAAUGAUUGACAAUUUCACAUGAAAAGAAACUAGAGGAUUCUAAUUUGGUUGAUGAUGCUUGGAAGCAAUUGGAUAAGAAGGUAUGAGGAACCAUUUAGUUAU
RNA transcript from Cryptomeria japonica (Japanese cedar), 2138 nucleotides. It is a transcript of the gene named disease resistance protein L6, with no coding region annotated. NCBI's taxonomy places the organism in Eukaryota, Viridiplantae, Streptophyta, Pinopsida, Cupressales, Cupressaceae. The transcript is spliced from 3 exons. The record is from RefSeq and is a predicted model, not a curated record.